GAUGAACGCUAGCUACAGGCUUAACACAUGCAAGUCGAGGGGCAGCACGGAGAUAGCUUGCUAUCUUGGGUGGCGACCGGCGCACGGGUGAGUAACGCGUAUCCAACCUGCCCAUUACUCUGGGAUAGCCUUGCGAAAGUAAGAUUAAUACCGGAUGUUGUUAAAAACCCGCAUGAGUUUUUAACCAAAGAUUUAUUGGUAAUGGAUGGGGAUGCGUGACAUUAGGUAGUUGGUGAGGUAACGGCUCACCAAGCCUACGAUGUCUAGGGGUUCUGAGAGGAAGGUCCCCCCACACUGGAACUGAGACACGGUCCAGACUCCUACGGGAGGCAGCAGUGAGGAAUAUUGGGUCAAUGGGUCUGACGACUGAACCAGCCAUGCCGCGUGAAGGAUACGGCCCUAUGGGUCUUAAACUCUUUUGUAAGGGAGCAAUAAGGGUCACGUGUGGUCUGAUGAGAGUACCUUACGAAUAAGCAUCGGCUAACUCCGUGCCAGCCAGCCGCGG
This 505-nucleotide ribosomal RNA is filed under the name uncultured bacterium. RNAcentral describes it as "bacterial SSU rRNA". It matches the Rfam family "Bacterial small subunit ribosomal RNA", at positions 28 to 520 of the family's 1533-position model. The record is from RNAcentral.